This is a long non-coding RNA of Myxocyprinus asiaticus (Chinese sucker), 13560 nucleotides long. RefSeq lists it as uncharacterized. NCBI's taxonomy places the organism in Eukaryota, Metazoa, Chordata, Actinopteri, Cypriniformes, Catostomidae. The record is from RefSeq and is a predicted model, not a curated record. The transcript has 6 exons.
GUUGUUUUGAGCAGAAGUUUCUGGCUUCAGGGAUCAACUGAUGAUUUCUAAAAAUACUUUUCAAUGUUUUUUACUGUUUAGGAAUUGACACAGGAGAUACUUGAGGAAGCCACAAUGCCUUAUUUUGGCUCAGAGGAGACAGUGAAGUAACUGAAGAGAACUCUGUCCAAUCCCAAUGUCCAAGCAGACCGCCUCUGAUACAAAAAUUACAUCACCAAAAUCAUGUCUGUAGAAUAGAUUGAUCAUCUUUCUUUUUUUCACGAAUGACUGAUGAUUUUUCAGGAUGACACAAAGAUAAGGCUUUUGAACAAUCAUCUAAUCUAAAGCAUUGUUAUCAUAACUGCAUUAUGUCCCAUUUGUCCAGCAACUUUUAAAGACCAGCUGAACUUGACUGUCAUCAAGUUAAUUUAAAGUAAAAUUAAUUUUUGCAUCAUAAUGAAAUUUACAUUUUCUGAACAAGCUUAGCAAAUGUGAUCCGAGGUAAAGAGGGUUAGAUUUAAAAUAUUUGAGAUGACUUUUUUUGUCUACAGAAUAGGGUAAGUCUAAUUUAAGUUUGUGUGAAGAAAAGGCAAUUAUAUAGGCCUAACAAUAUCAUUUUUUCAUUUAGUAAUUAAUUUUUUUUAAUUUAAUGCUUUAUUCGUUUGGUAGUUUAUUUAAUUUAAUACAGGGAAUUUUGCCUGCAUUUUUUCAAAAGUAAGCAAAAUAAUAAUUUUUAUAGAUUUGGGCAAUGUUAGUGUUCCAAAAAAGCUCACUGAUGCUUUUCUCCUAGUAUUGUGCAUUUAUUUUUAAUUUUAAACAUCUUUGUGCACAGAAAUGAUAAGUUUUUUGCAUUGUGGGCUAAUUCCAUGACUGCAGUCUAUUAUUUUGAAUGGUGUGGAAAAGCAACUUUAAUAAAUAAACGGAUGGCUACCGCGAUUAUAUUAAUCUCAAAGAGUGGCCAUUCAUUUGUUCUCCCUGCACUUGUAGAUGACAGGUGCAUGAUACGAGAUAUUUGUGUUGGCACUCCUGGAAGUGUUAUGACGCAGAUGUGUUUGCAGCAGCGGAUCUGUGCAGGUAUAUGACACAUGGUCUGGAAGUUUUGCCUUUAUUUAUGGACAUGGAGAAAGCCAGUGCCACAUUUGAUCUUGUUCAGAAGAAGCUGGUGUGUUUGUACAUGUGUACUUAUGCCAGCUGCAAGCCUGACCUGGCACUACUGGCCAUCAACGCUCUCCGUAAAGACUGUGCUGAUCUAAACCCUCUGGUGCGAGGGUUGGCCCUUAGGAACAUGUGCAACUUCAGGAUGCCAGGAAUAACAGAGUACAUAGAGCAGCCUAUUGUUGCUGGUCAGCGUGAUAAGACCAGUUGCGUAAGGUUGUGCCAUAAUGAGUCAUUAAAUCGAAAUGGAUAAACAGAUGCCAGUCUAGUGAAUGAGCUGCAUGCUCUUCUGAGGGACCCAGACCCUGUUGUGGUGAAUUGUCUGUGUGUCCUGGAGGAAAUUCUCAAAGAUGAGGGCAGUGUGGUUAUUAACAAACCCAUCGCUCAUCACCUUCUCAACAGAAUGAAGGACCUGGACAGCUGGACUCAGAGCGGAGUUGUUUGACAUCCUUAGCCUAAUGGACGGUUUCUCCAAAGCGCUCAUGCUCAUGUCGCAGUUGCAUGCUCCGCCUCUUACUUCAUUUAGCAGCUGCCCACCCUGUUGUGCAGGCUGACACCCUUCUGCACUCCAACGCCCUCCUGUUGGCUACAUGUGGUGCUGUGUCACACGAACUUCGAUUUGCCGGACUGUGUCACGUACAGUAGGUCAUGCGAAGUCAGCCAGGCCUUUUUGCGGAUACUCUGAACCGAGUGACAGUUGAAGUCAGAAGUUUACAUACACUUAGGUUGAAGUCAUUAAAACUCAUUUUUUAACCACUCCACAGAUUUAAUAUUAGCAAACUAUAGUUUUGGCAAGCAUUUAGGACAUCUACUUUGUGCAUGACACGAGUAAUUUUGACAACAAUUGUUUACAGACAGAUUGUUUCACUUUUAAUUGACUAUAUCACAAUUCCAGUGGGUCAGAAGUUUACAUACACUAAGUUAACUGUGCCUUUAAGCAGCUUGGACAAUUCCAGAAAAUUAUGUUAAGCCUUUAGGCAAUUAGCCAAUUAGCUUCUGAUAGGAGGUGUACUGAAUUGGAGGUGUACCUGUGGAUGUAUUUUCAGGCCUACCUUCAAACUCGGUGCCUCUUUGCUUGACAUAAUGGGAAAAUCAAAAGAAAUUAGCCAAGACCUCAGAAAAAAAUUUGUGGACCCCCACAAGUCUGGUUCAUCCUUCGGAGCAAUUUCCAAAUGCCUGAAGGUACCACGUUCAUCUGUACAAACAAAAGUAUGCAAGUAUAAACACCAUGGGAUCACGCAACCAUCAUACUGCUCAGGAAGGAGACACAUUCUGUCUGCUAGAGAUGAAUGUAGUUUGGUGCAAAAAGUGCAAAUCAAUCCCAGAACAACAGUAACGGAUCUUGUGAAGAUGCUGGAGGAAACAGGUAGACAAGUAUCUAUAUCCACAGUAAAACGAGUCCUAUAUUGACAUAACCUGAAAGGCUGCUCAGCAAGGAAGAAGCCACUGCUCCAAAACUGCCAUAAAAAAGCCAGACUACAGUUUGUAAGUGCACAUGGGGACAACGAUCUUACUUUUAGGAGAAAUGUCCUCUCGUCUGAUGAAACAAAAAUUGAACUGUUUGGCCAUAAUGACCAUCGUUAUGUUUGGAGGAAAAAGGGUGGGGCUUGCAAACCGAAGAACGCCAUCCCAACUAUGAAGCAUGGGGGUGGCAGCAUCAUGUUGUGGGGGUGCUUUGCUGCAGGAGGGACUGGUACACUUCACAAAAUAGAUGGCAUCAUGAGGAAGGAAAAUUAUAUGGAUAUAUUGAAGCAACAACUCAAGACAUCAGCCAGGAAGUUAAAGCUCGGUCGCAAAUGGGUCUUCCAAAUGGACAAUGGCAAAAUGGCUUAAGGACAAUAAAGUCAAGGUAUUGGAGUGGCCAUCACAAAGCCCUGACCUCAAUCCAAUAGAACAUUUUGGGCAGAACUGAAAAAGCGUGUGCAAGCAAGGAGGCCUACAAACCUGACUCAGUUACACCAGUUCUGUCUGGAGGAAUGGGCCAAAAUUCCAGCAACCUAUUGUGAAAAGCUUGUGGAAGGCAAUCCAAAACUUUUGACCAAGUUAAACAAUUUAAAGGCAAUGUUACCAAAUACUAACAAAGUGUAUGUAAACUUCUGACCCACUGGGAAUGUGAUGAAAGAAAUAAAAACUGAAAUAAAUCAUUCUCUCUACUAUAAUUCUGACAUUUCACAUUCUUAAAAUAAAUUAGUGAUCCUAACUGACCUAAGACAGGGAAUGUUUUCUACGAUUAAAUGACAGGAAUUGUGAAAAAUUGAGUUUAAAUGUAUUUGGCUAAGGUGUAUGUGAACUUCUAACUUCAACUGUACAUAAAAUUUCACAAGAUGGAAAUCCUGGUGGAGCUGUUAAAUUAUGAAAGUGUGUCUUUGGCUUUGGAAGAAUUGAGGAGUUACUGCACCGAUGUGUUUCCUGAGCUGGCCCAGACAGCCAUUGCUAUAGGUAGCACAUUUCACAAGAUGCUGUUUGUUUUUAUUACACAGUUUUAACAAUGAUUAAACACUGCGGCUUACUAUAUGUUACAUGUUGAAGACCCCAUGACUUUUGUGGCUUAUAAGGUCACAGUACAAUCCAUAAGAAAUCUCAGAAUGAACGGGUGUAACGUCAUUUAGAACAAAAUCUAGCCAAAACUGAGGUGUUUUUGAGUUUGUAUUUUCUGUGGUUCGUAACAGCUCGCCAAUGCGAACUUUCAGGAAAACUUCGUACUGGAUGCUAAACACCUUCUUUGUGCCAUUGUUCUACUUCAGCGGUAGGUGUGAUCUGGAGCUCAGUUAACAUGAACACACCGAUGUGCAGAGUUAUUAGCAAGCUGGUGCAAACUUACCUACAUCUGUAUGAUCGUUUGCAUAGAGACAUUUUCCAAGAACAUGUGUCAUCAUAAAUUACAAUAGCAGAGUGUAAACAGCAAAUGUUACGUCCACGUAUAGCAUGUUAGCACAUUAGUGCCAAUAAUGCAAAAUGUAAACAUGACAAAUUGCACAUUAUCUACUGCAUAUAUUCCUUUUAAUCAUCGAGUGGUUAAACGGCUUCUCAUGUGUGUUCUACUCAUAGAAUGAGGCAUAUAUUCAUUGAUAACACAUUUUAAUGUCACAUUUGUUAAGGUUUUACAUGUAGUCUUAUGUUUAAAUAUACCUCUAAACAUCUCCCACAGCGGUGUGGCCGGUGUCUGACUGUUCGCAAACUGUAUGUCAUUGCUCAGCUGUUUCGAACUUCUUUUUGGCUCUGAGCGAAGAACGAAGAAAACUUCUUCGUGAAGGCGUGGUCACCCAUACCUUCGCACAGCGAAAUUUCACAGGCGCAAUACAUUAAUCUCAAAGGGAAUUCACGCAUGAUGUCGUGAAUUUCGCACGAUGGACUUCGGUUGAUGGACUUUCUUCUGUGUUAGCAUCUUUACUACUCCAGCCAUUGUGAGAACUUGGCAGUCCUAUACUGUAGAUGUACAGUUUUUCUCCUUCAGGAAAAUGGACAAAAAUAUUAAUGACUCAUCUUUUAAAAAUUAGAAAUAAAAAAAUAGAUUUUUGUCCAAUCAAAUGCACACUAUAAGGAGAAUGUCCCACCCCCUAAUCACACUUGCAGGGUUCAUGGCUGUGACGUAACUGAAGCAUAUUGGCUAUUUUAAAGAAAAAGGAUGAGACCUUCGAUAUAUCCCAUCCAGUUUCAAUUGGGAAUAUGUCACAUUUCACAGGCUCUUUAGGAGAUAUUUAUGCUCAGUUUUCAUAGCUAAUGUCACUCUGGAGGGGAAGUGGUCGUGUGUCUGUCAGUGGGGAGAGAGGAAGCGGUAAGAGCCAUUACCUGGUGAUUAUUGACUCUAAACACCUGUGUCUCAUUUCAGUGACGGCGGAUAUGGGCUUUAAAAGGCCGGCAGAUCACCAGACCGGGAGAGAGAGUCAGAGAUGCACACACACACACACACCCAGACCGAAGCUGUAUGCUGAAAAGCUAUAUGAAUAAUAUAAUUAUUGAGUUUAUGUUGACUGUUAUAAUUGCAGCAGUGUGUGAAAAUUGAAAUUCUUGCUGGAAAGCCUAUGUUGAGCUAAGCCUUGAGAAUAAAAGAAUACCCACAUGAACUGUGAUGCUGGCUCCUGUUCCCUUUUUGCAACCCACUCUGAGAACUCUUACACUGGUUCCGAAACCCGGAAAUUGAGAAGAAGAUUGGCUGCCAUGGACACCUCACCGCUGGGCGAAGUCAUCUGUGCCUUGGCUAGCAUCCAGGAGACUCACCACCAAGCUCUCCUCGCCCAGGAGCGGUGCUUCCAGGAACUCGUUCAAGCGCAGGCAGAGGAUCGGCAGGCCUUACGGAGCUGGCUAGCUCCAGGCGGGUCCUCCACCGCAGCCCCGGAAGCAGCGAUGAAGCCGCACAUUGUGCUCACUAAGAUGGGGACCUAGAAUGAUCCAGAGGCAUUCAUGAACAGUCGGCCACCGCCUCCGACUGGCCGCGACUACAAUGGGCCCUGCACCUGCUGCCGAGUUGGGUGCUAGUCGAGGAAGGCCGUGACGUGGAGAAUGUCAUCGAUCUGAUGGUGCUGGAGCAGUUGACCACUCAUCUGCCCUGAGGAACCGCAGAAUGUGUCCAGUGCCAUCGUCCCACGUCAAUGGAUGAUGCCAUCCAGCUGGCUGAAGCCCACAUGGCAGCCUAUCCGGAAGCUGGCGAGCAGGAGUCCACAAUUCUCUCUCUCUCUUGCUGCCCCUCCUCUUCUUGUCCCUCCCUCUCCUCCCUCUCGCCCCAUACCCACUCCUCGGAGGGCUGCUUCCGAGGGCUGCACUAUUCGCCGGUCCCCCCUGCCCCUCUCUGUCACCACUCACAGGAUGAUGUCUCCACCACGACGAGUGCAGCCGGGAAGUCUGGGCCAGUCUGCUGGAUUUGCAGGGAGCUGGGACAUGCCUAAGACUGGUGUCCUGUGAUGGAGAUGGGGACGUAGGUCCGGGUCCCCGACACACCACAGACCGCCCCUGGUUGAGCAGGGACGUACCAUACACCGGUAAGAAUUAAGGGGUGUACAUACCAAGCACUGGUGGAUUCUGGCUGUAAUCAAACCUCGAUUCACCACGGCUUGGUUCAUGAUGGGGCUUUAGGUGCAAAACACAAGGUGGUGGUGAGGUGUGUGCAUUGUGAUGUUCACGAGUAUCCGGUAGUGACAGCCAUUACUCAAUUCCGGGGGGAAAAGCAUAGAGUGGAGGCUGUUAUUAAUUCGCGCCUCACCCAUCACUGAUUUUGGGUACCAAUUGGCCGGGUUUAAAAAUUUAUUAAAAGCAUUAUGUGUGGAUGGGUCCUGUGAACCAAAAUUUCAGUGUGUGAUGUGUGACGUGAUGGCUGGGGAGGCGGAGCCGGGGCCAUCUAUGGCUGCUCAGCGUUAGAGUGACGCAGGAGGGGAAUCCUCCGGCAUUUGCGCCCUUAGGGAAUUCCCAGAGGGGGAUUUCCCUCUAGAGCAGUGAGUGAUGAAAAAAUUAAGCAUGCCUUUGACCAAGUGAGAGUGAUCGAUGGCCAGCAGCUCCAGCUUAACGUUGCACUCACAUAUCCAUAUUUUUCAAUCAUCAGGGACCCGUUGUAUCAAGUGAUGCAGGACACUUAAACCCAUGAAAAUACAACCCAGUUAUUAGUCCCGAAGAGCCAUCGGGAAAUACUUUUCCAGGUGGCUCACUAUAAUCCUAUGGUGGGUCACUUAGGACAAGAAAGGACACUGCACCGGUUAAUGGCCCGCUUUUAUUGGCCAGCCAUUCGCGGCGAUGUGCACAGAUGGUGUGCGGCAUGCCGAAAAUGUCAGGAGGUGGGCUGAUGGGCUGGUCGAAUGAUUUAAUCGAACCCUAAAAAAUAUGAUUUGUAAAUUCGUAUGCAAGGAUGAUAGAAACUGGGACAAAUGACUGGAACCCGUGGGGUGCUUGACGUCAUACAGGAGGCAUGGGAGGAGCGACCUUCCCAAAGCAAAAAUUAAAUUCAGUAUGUCCUUGACCUUUGAGCAAAGCUACACACGCUGGGCCGGUUGUCACAGGGAAAUUUGCUCCAAGCUCAAGAGAGACAAAGCCGGCUCUAUAAUAAGGGUGCCCAGCUAUGCAAAUUUGCACCGGGAGACAAAGUCCUUGUAUUAUUUCCCACUUCGAGCUCUAAAUUAGUGGCAAGGACCCUUUGAGGUUGCACGGUGAGUUGGGGAUCUCUAUUAUGAGGUCAAACGAACAGAUAGAGGCGGAGCACGUCAAAUUUACCAACUCAACCUCCUUUGUUUAUGGAGAGAGGUGGUCCCCGUGUCCAUGACGACAGUAGUUCCAGAGAGAGCAGAGCUCAGGCCAGAGGUGAAGUUCAAAGCCGAUUCAUUCACCCCAGUCCCUUGUGGAGACCACCUCUCACCGUCCCAGCUCGCGGAGGUGGCAAAGUUGCAAAAGGAAUUUGCGAACGUGUUCUCCCCUCUUCCCGGUCGUACGGACCUCAUACAACACCAUAUCGAGACUCCGCCAGGAGUAGUAGUACGUAGUCGGCCGUACCGUUCUGAGAGCGACGGGUCAGUCUGGUUCUGUGUAGAUUAUCAAAAAGUCCAAUUUUAUUCGACACUGGAUUUAACAAAGGGGUAUUGGCAGAUCCCCUUAACUCCAUUAUCCUGAGAAAAAACUGCGUUUUCCACACUGUUUGGAUUACACCAAUCCGUUCGGUUUGUUUGGGGCUCCUGCCACAUUCCAGUGCCUCAUGUAUAAGAUUCUUCGGCUGCACGCCGCAUAUGCCGCUGCCUAUUUAGAUGAUAUUAUUAUAUACAGUAACGAUUGGCAGAGGCAUAUGCAGCAUCUGAGAGCCGUCCUGAGGUCACUGAGGUGGGCGGGGCACAUGGCAAACCCAAAAAAGUGUACAAUUGGAUGGUUGGAAGUAUGGUAUCUGGGCUUCCACUUAAGUCAUGGGCAGGUACGGCCCCAAGUUGAUAAGACCGUAGCGAUAGCGGCCUGCCCACGACCCAAGACCAAGAAGGAGGUGAGACAGUUUAUGGGGCUGGCUGGCUACUACUGAAGGUUUGUGCCUAGUUUCUCUGAUAUCACCAGCCCCUUCACUGAUCUCACUAAAAAGGGGGUGCCAGAUCCAGUCCAGUAAACGGAGUUAUACCAACAGGCUUUUACGAGAGUGAAAUCUGCACUCUGUGGUGGGCCGCUUUUACAUGCUUCAAAUUCUCUCUCCCCUUCAUUUUACAGAUGGAUGCAUCUCAGAGAGGGGGUGGGGGGCCGUGCUCUCACAGGAGGUAGAGGGGGUGGAGCAGCCCGUGCUGUACAUUAGUCGUAAGCUUUCUUUGAGGGACACUAAGUACAGUACGAGUGCCUGGCCAUCAAAUGGGCUGUCCUAACCCUAUUACCUGCUGGAGCCUUCAACCUCUGCUCGGAUCACUCCCCGCUUCAGUGGCUUCACUGCAUGAAGGAUGCCAAUGCGCAGAUCACUCAUUGGUACCUGGCACUUCAGCUGUUCAAAUUUAAGGUGAUCCACAGGCAUGGUUGUGGCUGAUUUCCUCUCCAGGAAUUGGGGGGGGGGGGUUCUCACAGUGUUCACAGCCGUUGGACCAGACAAAAUCUACUACCAAUUUUUAAAUAAUCUACUGUACCUCGCACUACUCUAACUAUGCUUCUUAAAAAUCUUUAACUCCAUCUGGAUAUCAGGAAAUAUUCCACCCGCUUGGAAGGAAGCAGAAAUUAUACCCAUUCCAAAGACAGGGAAACACCAUAACGAUGCCAACAACUAUUGACCUAUAUAGCCAUGACCAGCUGCUUAUGCAAAACAAUGUGUAAAUAUUUGUAUGAACAUAAAAAGAUUCAACAACUAAGACAUAAACUGAACAAAUUUCACAGACAUUUGACUAACAGAAAUGGAAUAAUGUGUCCCUGAACAAAGUGGGGGUCAAAAUCAAAAGUAACAGUUAGUAUCUGGUGUGGCCACCAGCUGCAUUAAGUACUGCAGUGCAUCUCCUCCUCAUGGACUGCACCAGAUUUGCCAGUUCUUGAGAUGUUACCCCACUCUUCCACCAAGACACUUGCAAGUUCCUGGACAUUUCUGGGGGGAAUGGCCUUAGCCCUCACCCUCCGAUCCAACAGGUCCCAGACGUGCUCAAUGGGAUUGAGAUCUGGGCUCUUCGCUGGUCAUGGCAGAACACUGACAUUCCUGUCUUGCAGGAAAUCAUGUACAGAACAAGCAAUAUGGCUGGUGGCAUUGUCAUGCUGGAGGGUCAUGUCAGGAUGAGCCUGCAGGAAGGGUACCACAUGAGGGAGGAGGAUGUCUUCCCUGUAACACACAGCAUUGAGAUUGCCUGCAAUGACAACAAGCUCAGUUCGAUGAUGCUGUGAAACACCGCCCCAGACCAUGAUGGACCCUCCACCUCCAAAUCGAUCCCGCUUCAGAGUACAGGCCUCGGUGUAACGCUCAUUCCUUCAAUGAUAAACGCGAGUUCGACCAUCACCCUUGGUGAGACAAAACCGUGACUCGUCAGUGAAGAGCACUUUUUGCCAGUCCUGUCUGGUCCAGCAAAGGUGAGUUUUUGCCCAUAGGUGAUGUUGUUGCCAAAUAUGUCUGGUAAGGACCUGCCUUACAACAGGCCUACAAGCCCUCAGUCCAGCCUCUCUCAGCCUAUUGUGGACAGUCUGAGCACUGAUGGAGGGAUUGUGCAUUCCUGGUGUAACUCGGGCAGUUGUUGUUGCCAUCCUGUACCUGUCCCGUAGGUGUGAUAUUCGGAUGUACCGAUCCUGUGCAGGUGUUGUUACACAUGGUCUGCCACUGUGAGGACGAUCAGCUGUCCUUCCUGUCUCAUUGUAGUGCUGUCUUAGGCAUCUCACAGUACGGAUAUUGCAAUUUUUUGCCCUGGCCAGAUCUGCAGUCCUCAUGCCUCCAUGCAGCAUGCCUAAGGCAUGUUCAUGCAGAUGAGCAGGGACCCUGGGCAUCUUUCUUUUGGUGUUUUUCAGAGACAGUAGAAAGGUCUUUUUAGUGUCCUAAGUUUUUAUAACUGUGACAUUAAUUGCCUACCAUCUGUAAGCUGUUGGUAUCUUAAUGACCGUUCCACAGGUGCAUGUUCAUUAAUUGUUUAUUGUUCAUUGAACAAGCAUGGAAAACAUUCUUUAACCCUUUCCAGCUGGAGCGUUCAAAUUUGGGAACAAUUAUUCCCAUGGUUCCUGUCUCAAUAUCUUCGCCGUCCAAUCACCGAUUUUAUUUCUGAAAACUGCCAGAUACUCAUGACAAUAUAAGCUAAAAGCACAAUUGGUUAAGGGAUUACUGGGCAUGAAUAAUAAAUGUAUCAUCAUCAGCGUCAUCCUCCAUUUGCCUGAGCGGAGCUAGAGAGGAUACGCCGGGAGAUUACCUGCAGUGUUGGACUUACUGCUUCAAAUUGAAAACUGAGGCGAUCUUUUGAGGUAAGACAAGUUAUUUAACAUGUGUUGUCAAUAUUGUCUAUUAAAAGUCAAAACAUUUUAGUUACAAAGCAUUUUUUUUGUAGGAGUAACGCUAGUUAUGUCUGGAAAAAAUGACAUGACCGUCGCCGUUUAUCAGACAGGCAGCUGGCCUCUAUUUUUAAGCAAAUUUCUGUGAAACUUGCUAAAUAAACAUUAGCUAGCAAUACUAUGUACAUUUUUAGCUAAAUAUCAAUAGAUAGAUAGAAAUUUUGAUUUUGUAUGUUUUGCUGUGCAAUUCGUGUGUAAUUCUAAUGUUCAAAUUAAAUAAAGUGUGUGUUUUAUUGAACACAUAAAAUUUGUAUUUAAGUUUUUGUGUUUGUGUGUGGCACAGAAUGGAAUUUUCAGAUUUUUUUUCAGGCUUUAAAGGGUUAAACCCUUUACAAUAAAGAUCUGUAAAGUUAUUUGGAUUUUUACAAAAUUAUCUUUAAAAUACAGUGUCCUGAAAAAGGGACGUUUCUUUUUUUGCUGAGUUCACGUGAUGCUUUUAUUAAGAAAGAACGUGUUGUAGCAGUCUUUUUUUAUUUAUUUGGAGAAAGCCUACGACACAAUAUGGAAGUAUGGCAUUUUAAAGGAUUUGUAUCAGUUUAGUUUUAGAGGACGUUUACCAGUUUAUAUUGAGAGAUUUUUAUCAAACAGACUUUUUAGAGUCAAGGUAGAUAACACCUUGUCUGACCUACAUAGACAAAAACUUGGAGUUCCUCAAAGAAGGAUUUUAUCAGUAACUCUUUUUAGUAUUAAAAUAAAUAACAUUACAAAAGUAAGUGGUUCAGCUAUUCAAUGUAGCUUAUACAUUCAGCCACAACAUUAAAACCACCUGCCUAAUAUUGUGUAGGUCCCCCUCGUGCUGCCAAAACAGUGCCAACCCGCAUCUCAGAAUAGCAUUCUGAGAUGCUAUUCUUCUCACCACAAUUGUACAGUGCAGUAAUCUGAGUUACCGUAGACUUUGUCAGUUCAAACCAGUCUGGCCAUUAUCUGUUGACCUCUCUCAUCAACAAGGCAUUACUGUCCACAGAACUGCUGCUCACUGUAUGUUUUUAUUUUGGCACCAUUCUGAGUAAAUUCUAGAGACUGUUGUGCAUGAAAAUCCCAGAAGAUCAACAUUUACAGAAAUACUCAACCCAGCCCAUCUGGCACCAAAAAGAGAUGUUUUAAAGCCAUGAACAUUUUAAAGGUUUUAUCUAAGACAGAAUGGGGUGCAGACACCUCAAUCCUCCCAAAUCUAUAUAGAACCCUGAUUCGCUCAAAGCUGGACUAUGGAAGUAUAGUCUAUGGCUCAGCCAGAAAAUCAUACAUUUGACUUUUGGAUACUAUACAACACCAAGGUAUAUGACUGGCUUUGGGAGCUUUCAGAAUGUCAUCAUGUGGAGGCUAAUGAGCUUUCUUUGGAAAACAGACACCUGAAGCUGGCUUUACAGUAUGCAAUCAAGCUUAACAAAAAUAAUGAAAAUCCGGCCUAUCUGGCUGUGUUUUCACCUCAACUUUCAAUAAUGUAUGGAAAGUAAAAGUUACAUCUGCCCACUUGGUCUACAUAUUAAACCUCAUCUGGAGAAUUUAAAAGUGGAUUUAAACAUUUUGAAAUGAACUCACUUUUGCAAAAUUCCUCCAUGGGACCUCAGAAAACAAGAAACAAAGAGUCAAAAACUCAUCCAAAUGAUUAUCACCAACAACUUUUGGAUAUAAGACAAAUGUUCCCAUUACAUAUUCCGCUUUAUACAGAUGGAUCUAAAUCUGAAAAUUAUGUGUCUGCGGCUUUUGCAUCAAAUCAACUACAUCAGGGUAUACAUAUUGCUGACAAAAGCUCAGUUUUGAGUACAGAGGCCCUGAUUCAAAAUUAUGUUUUGAAACACUAGAAUAUAUUAAAAGACAAGUCAAGUCAUUUUUAUAUGUAUAGCGCCUUUCACAACACACGUCGUUUCAAAGCCUCUCAAAGGAGGUAGAUCCUUUUCAUAUUUGGCUCCUAAACUAUGGAAUAGUCUCCCUAACACUGUUCGGGAUGCAGACACACUCACUCAGUUUAAGUCUAGACUAAAGACUCAUCUAUUUAGCCAGGCAUACACCUAAUUUAUCCCUCAACUCACAAUUAGGCUGCUUUAGUUAGGUCUGCCAGAACCAGAAACCAGAAACAUUAAUCAUGAUCUAUAACUCUGCAAUAAAUUGAAUGGCAUCUAUACUAAUAUUAUUUGUUUCCCUGUCUCAACCUCGGGACUCCUAUCCUGAGGUCACCAGAACCGGCUGGAUCCAGCUCCAUUCCCACUUCGUGUUGGACUCCACUGCUAAGUGUCGCUGCGUGAUGAUGACUAAUAGCAGCUGGUGCCAGCCAAACAUUACUUCAGUCUAUUACGUUGGACUUCAGAGAAUGAACUGAUGCCAACUCCAACCAUAAGACAUGGGAUACUUCAUAUGCCAUUGCCUGAACCUUGGAUUUAGGAUAGACCUCACCGAAAUUACCGGCCAGGUUGAACUGCGAUGCACCUAACUGAUCUCUGCCUGCAUCACCUUUGUCUAUUGAUGGACUACACUCUUGAAAUGGAAUACAUAGACUAUCAAUUAAUUGCCAACAAAUCCCUUCAUCAGCCAACUAACAAGGACAAUUGGAUCUAUGUGAACGUCUGCAGUUAAUACAGGAUGGACUUCAAAGACAUUAGUCAUUAAUCUUACAGUUCAUACAAAGUUUUUGUUUAAACACUGGCCCUUAACACUUACUUAAUCAUUUUAAACCAUGACUUGCACUAUACAUAAGUAAUAUUGGCAUUAUUUUCAUGAUGUUAGCCCCACAGAGAGCCUGGUUUCUCCCAAGGUUAUUUUUCUCCAUUAACCAACAUCUUAUGGAGUUUUGUGUUCCUUGCCACAGUUGCCUUCGGCUUGCUCACUGGGGUUCUAAAUACAAUUAUUAUUUCAUUUUUAUAUACAAUUUACAAUCAUCUUUAAUCAAACUACACAAUGAUCACUAAGACUUUAUAGAUAUUACAGUUUUAUUUUCUGUUAAUGCUUGAUCUUCUGUAAAGCUGCUCUGAAACGAUGUGUGUUGUGAAA